This is a long non-coding RNA of Eubalaena glacialis (North Atlantic right whale), 281 nucleotides long. RefSeq lists it as uncharacterized. NCBI's taxonomy places the organism in Eukaryota, Metazoa, Chordata, Mammalia, Artiodactyla, Balaenidae. The record is from RefSeq and is a predicted model, not a curated record. The transcript has 3 exons.
AGGAAGGAGAAGGAAAGAAGAAGAAAGCGGAGAGUGGGAGCAAAGGGAAGAGUAAAUACUGCAGUGCUACACGAUGUGCAGUUGAAUUCGAGGAUGUGGAGGGUCAACUUGGACACGUGUUCGAUCCCUGGUCUGGGAGGAUCCCACAUGCCGCGGAGCAGCUGGGGCCGUGCAACACAACUACUGAGCCUGCGCUCUAGAGCCCACGUGCCACAACUACUGAGCCCGCGUGCUGCAACUACUGAAGCCCAUGCGCCUAGAGCCUGUGCUCCACAACAAGA